UACGUAGGGUGCAAGCGUUGUCCGGAAUUAUUGGGCGUAAAGAGCUCGUAGGCGGUCUGUCGCGUCUGCUGUGAAAACUCAGGGCUUAACCCUGAGCUUGCAGUGGGUACGGGCAGACUAGAGUGCGGUAGGGGAGACUGGAAUUCCUGGUGUAGCGGUGAAAUGCGCAGAUAUCAGGAGGAACACCGGUGGCGAAGGCGGGCCUCUGGGCCGAAACUGACGCUGAGGAGCGAAAGCGUGGGGAGCAAACAGG
Molecule: ribosomal RNA, 253 nt
Filed under: uncultured bacterium
Lineage: Bacteria
Description: partial 16S ribosomal RNA
Rfam family: Bacterial small subunit ribosomal RNA
Source: RNAcentral